This 315-nucleotide ribosomal RNA is filed under the name Canis lupus familiaris (dog). Its description in RNAcentral is "partial small subunit ribosomal RNA". It matches the Rfam family "Bacterial small subunit ribosomal RNA", at positions 880 to 1359 of the family's 1533-position model. Lineage: Eukaryota; Metazoa; Chordata; Mammalia; Carnivora; Canidae. The record is from RNAcentral.
CUACUAGCAAUAGCUUAAAACUCAAAGGACUUGGCGGUGCUUUAUAUCCCUCUAGAGGAGCCUGUUCUAUAAUCGAUAAACCCCGAUAAACCUCACCACCUUUCGCUAAUUCAGUCUAUAUACCGCCAUCUUCAGCAAACCCUCAAAAGGUAGAACAGUAAGCACAAUCAUUUUACAUAAAAAAGUUAGGUCAAGGUGUAACUUAUGAGGUGGGAAGAAAUGGGCUACAUUUUCUACCCAAGAACAUUUCACGAAUGUUUUUAUGAAAUUAAAAACUGAAGGAGGAUUUAGUAGUAAAUUAAGAAUAGAGAGCUU